UGAACGCUGGCGGCGUGCCUAACACAUGCAAGCCGAACGAAGCUUGACGGAUGAUUUCUUCGGAAUGAAACUAGAUAUGACUUAGUGGCGGACGGGUGAGUAACACGUGAGCAACCUGCCUUUCAGAGGGGGAUAACGGCUGGAAACGGUCGCUAAUACCGCAUGAUGUGUUCGGAUGGCAUCAUCUGAACAUCAAAGAUUUAUCGCUGAAAGAUGGGCUCGCGUCUGAUUAGAUAGUUGGUGGGGUAACGGCCUACCAAGUCUACGAUCAGUAGCCGGACUGAGAGGUUGAACGGCCACAUUGGGACUGAGAUACGGCCCAGACUCCUACGGGAGGCAGCAGUGGGGAAUAUUGCACAAUGGGGGAAACCCUGAUGCAGCAACGCCGCGUGAAGGAUGACGGUUUUCGGAUUGUAAACUUCUUUUCUUAGUGACGAAGACAGUGACGGUAGCUAAGGAAUAAGCAUCGGCUAACUACGUGCCAGCAGCCGCGGUAAUACGUAGGAUGCAAGCGUUAUCCGGAUUUACUGGGUGUAAAGGGAGCGCAGGCGGGACUGCAAGUUGGAUGUGAAAUACCGUGGCUUAACCACGGAACUGCAUCCAAAACUGUAGUUCUUGAGUGAAGUAGAGGCAAGCGGAAUUCCGAGUGUAGCGGUGAAAUGCGUAGAUAUUCGGAGGAACACCAGUGGCGAAGGCGGCUUGCUGGGCUUUAACUGACGCUGAGGCUCGAAAGUGUGGGGAGCAAACAGGAUUAGAUACCCUGGUAGUCCACACUGUAGACGAUGAUAGCUAGGUGUGGGGGGUCUGACCCCUUCCGUGCCGGAGUUAACGCAAUAAGCUAUCCACCUGGG
RNAcentral lists this ribosomal RNA (851 nucleotides) under uncultured bacterium. RNAcentral's name for it is "bacterial SSU rRNA". It matches the Rfam family "Bacterial small subunit ribosomal RNA", at positions 30 to 877 of the family's 1533-position model. The record is from RNAcentral.